UGGGGAAUUUUGGACAAUGGGGGCAACCCUGAUCCAGCCAUGCCGCGUGAGUGAAGAAGGCCUUCGGGUUGUAAAGCUCUUUCGGCCGGGAAGAAAUCGCGCCAGCUAAUACCUGGUGUGGAUGACGGUACCGGAAGAAGAAGCACCGGCUAACUACGUGCCAGCAGCCGCGGUAAUACGUAGGGUGCGAGCGCUAAUCGGAAUUACUGGGCGUAAAGCGUGCGCAGGCGGCUCUAUAAGACAGAUGUGAAACUCCCCGGGCUUAACCGUGGGAACUGCGUUUGUGACUGUAGGGCUUGAGUGCGGCAGAGGGGGUGGAAUUCCACGUGUAGCAGUGAAAUGCGUAGAGAUGUGGAGGAACACCGGAUGGCGAAGGCAGCCCCCUGGGUCGACACUGACGCU
This 402-nucleotide ribosomal RNA is filed under the name uncultured bacterium. RNAcentral describes it as "bacterial SSU rRNA". It matches the Rfam family "Bacterial small subunit ribosomal RNA", at positions 355 to 747 of the family's 1533-position model. The record is from RNAcentral.